Molecule: ribosomal RNA, 315 nt
Filed under: Triticum aestivum (bread wheat)
Lineage: Eukaryota; Viridiplantae; Streptophyta; Magnoliopsida; Poales; Poaceae
Description: partial small subunit ribosomal RNA
Source: RNAcentral
AUGGAAAAGAAAGAUGCUAAACCUAGACUUAUUAGAUGGGUUCUCUUGCUACAAGAAUUUGAUUUGCAUAUUAUUGAUAGAAAGGGAGCUGAGAACCCCGUUGCAGACAACUUGUCUAGGUUAGAGAAUGUUUUUGAUGACCCACUACCUAUUGAUGAUAGCUUUCCCGAUGAACAAUUAAAUGUCAUAAAUGCUUCUCAUACUGCUCCAUGGUAUGCUGAUUAUGCUAAUUAUAUUGUUGCUAAAUUUAUACCACCUAGUUUCACAUACCAGCAAAAGAAAAUGUUCUUCUAUGAUUUAAGAUAUUACUUCUAG